RNAcentral lists this ribosomal RNA (429 nucleotides) under Bacillota bacterium. Its description in RNAcentral is "Firmicutes bacterium partial 16S ribosomal RNA". It matches the Rfam family "Bacterial small subunit ribosomal RNA", at positions 355 to 776 of the family's 1533-position model. The record is from RNAcentral. Lineage: Bacteria; Bacillati; Bacillota.
UAGGGAAUCUUCGGCAAUGGACGGAAGUCUGACCGAGCAACGCCGCGUGAGUGAAGAAGGUUUUCGGAUCGUAAAGCUCUGUUGUUAGAGAAGAACGUUGGUAGGAGUGGAAAAUCUACCAAGUGACGGUAACUAACCAGAAAGGGACGGCUAACUACGUGCCAGCAGCCGCGGGAAUACGUAGGUCCCGAGCGUUGUACGGACUUAUUGGGCGUAAAGCGAGCGCGGGCGGUUCUUUAAGUCUGAAGUUAAAGGCAGUGGCUUACCCAGUGUACGCUUUGGAAACUGGAGGGCUUGAGUGCAGAAGGGGAGAGUGGAAUUCCAUGUGUAGAGGUGAAAUGCGUAGAUAUAUGGAGGAACACCUGUGGCGAAAGCGGCUCUCUGGUCUGUUACUGACGCUGAGGCUCGAAAGCGUGGGGAGCAAACAGG